GCCCAGGAGUCAGGAAUCUGAAGAAGGAUCCAGGGGACGAAGGGACAGGUGCAGGCAUUGCUGCAGCCGCUCAUUAACGAGGAGGUGAAAACGGAAAACACAAAGUGAUGGAGGCUUUCCAGCAAGCGGGUAUGGCGUGGAAGCCUGGGGCACACCAACCCAUGAGGCUAGUCAAAGGAAGUGAAGAAGGGAAGACCGCAACAAGGGCAGGAGACAGGAGUCACAAGUACAUUUCCUGGAAUCCAAGGCCUACGUUGGAAUUCCUCAGGAGGUUUAUCUC
Molecule: long non-coding RNA, 280 nt
Filed under: Pan troglodytes (chimpanzee)
Lineage: Eukaryota; Metazoa; Chordata; Mammalia; Primates; Hominidae
Description: long non-coding RNA NONPTRT011028
Source: RNAcentral